GCCCGGAUGGCGGAAUUGGUAGACGCGCUAGUUUCAGGAGCUAGUUCGCUUUGGCGGAUGGGGGUUCGAGUCCCCCUUCGGGCA
This 84-nucleotide transfer RNA is filed under the name Ignavibacteria bacterium. Its description in RNAcentral is "tRNA-Leu". It matches the Rfam family "tRNA". From Rfam's summary of the family: Transfer RNA (tRNA) molecules are approximately 80 nucleotides in length. Their secondary structure includes four short double-helical elements and three loops (D, anti-codon, and T loops). Lineage: Bacteria; Pseudomonadati; Ignavibacteriota; Ignavibacteria. The record is from RNAcentral.